GCCGUUUCCGGCCCUGGGGAGGCGCUGUGCCGCCGCUGGCUGCGGCCCGAGCGGCGCUCCAAGGAGCAGAUGCUGGAGCUGCUGGUCCUCGAGCAGUUCCUCAGCCUCCUCGCGCGCCCUGCACCCGACCUCCCCGUAGGCCACCCCAAUCAAGGCCGAGGCUGGAUCUCCCACCCGGGGAGAAUGGCAGCAGCUGGCCUUGGACCCCCAGAAUGGCUCGUGCGAGGAGAGCACGGAGGACUACGGGAGCACGGCCAUGUUGGGCCUGGAGAACCAAGCUGCCUGGAACCCCGACCUGAUCCCAAAGCCUGCACAGGCCUGGGUACAAGGCGUGCCCCCGGGGACAGACCCUGACAGGGAAGAGAAACCACCUAAAGAUGCUGUACUGCCACUGCCACAGACCCAGGGUUCUCCAGGAGAGCCAGGGGCCACGGCAACCUUACAUGUCCCUUGGGCGCCCAAGGAGGAACGGCUUUGGAGAAGUGGAGAGCCGGGGCACACGACCACCUUGCACACCCUCUGCGGGGCCAAGGAGGAAGAACUUUGGAGACGUGGAGAGCCAGGAUGCACGGCCACCGCCCACACCUUCUGCGGGGCCAACGUGGAAGGACUAAGGAGAAGUGGAGAGCCAGGCCCCACGGCCACCUCGCAGGUUUCUGUGAGGUCAAGAAGGAAGAGCUUUGGAGAAGUGGAGAGCCAGGGUGCACAACCACCUUGCAGGUCCCCUGGGGGGCCAAGGAGGAGGGGCUUUGGAGAAGUGACGACUUUGGGGAGGUUGCCACUGCCCCUGCCCUUGCUGGAGACAGCAGAACCUGCUGAUGGCUUUGGGGAGGUUGCCACCGCCCCUGCCCUCACUCAGUAUCAACUGUGCCACUUUUGUUAAGUGGUCCCCGCUGGAGAACAAGUUUGCUGUGGGGAGUGGAGCUCGGCUCAUCUCCUCAGUCUGCUACUUUGAGUCUGAAAACGACUGGUGGGUGAGCAAGCACAUUAAGCCAAUUCUCUCCACAUUCCUCUCCUUGCCUGGCACCCCAACAACAUUUUGCUGGCUGCAGGGUCAUGAGACUUCAAAUGCAAGUGAGGAUACAUGGGCACUGCCUGUUGCUCAGCAUUGACAGGUACCCAUUGGGCUCCUUUAUUUGCAAAGUACAGUAACCUGUGAGCAGCUCAGCGAUAAAGGGAAUUUCCUGUUCUAGAAAAGGAGCUGAGGCUCAGCAGGUAGAGAACUUGCUGAGCUGGUUACCGUCCCCCAGCACUGCAGAAGCCCGGCAGGUGCUGCACACCUGUAAACCCAGCACUGAAUGUGGAGCUAAGAUUAGAGGCUCAGUUACAGACCGAGAUUGAGGGCAGCCAAACUAUAUGAGACCCUUUCUCAAGAAAGAGAAAAAGAACAAGUGAAUUGGUGCACAGUGAUGGACAGAGAAAGUAGCAGAAGACAUGAUGGACUCAGCCAUAGGGUUAGCAGGAGCUGCAGCAGGUCGUUGGGCACAGCAGCCUGGCCAGUACAAUGAGGGAUCUUAGGCAGAGUCGGUAGUCUUAAGUGCAGGGUGAGCUCAUGCUAUGUCCACCCAUCCAUCUCUCUCUCAGCCUCUCUUCAGUUAUUAAGUCAGUUGAUUUUAUUUAUCUCUGUGCAUGUGGGUAUGCACGCCUGGCAAAGGCCAGAAGGGGUAAGAGAUGCCCAAGAGCUAGAGAUGGUUGUGAGCCACUUGAUAGAGGUGCUGGGAGCCCAACCUAGUCCUCUAGAAGAGCAGCAAGUGUGUCAACCACUGAGCCAUCUCUUCGAAUCAGUUCUCUGGGUUUUGAUGUGACAAGGAGUUGGAAGCAUGAAGCCCAGGUUGGUCUGGAGCUCACCAUCCUCCCUCAGCUUCUUGUCCUAGAAUUACAAGUCUGCACCUUCAUGCUCACCAGCCUCUUUCUUGGACCGUUGCAGGUCCUCAUUUUGUGUCCCAGGCCACAGACUGCAGAGAACAGUGAACCUGACUUUAGCCACGUGUCCCUGAGGGUAUCUAGACAAAACAUUCUUUCUGUCUUUAGCCCGAGGCUAGAGGAGACUUGCCACCCUGUUAGAGCUUUACAUCAGCAGCAAACUUGCGGUUACAAAGCAACAAUGGGAAUAAUUUUCUGGGGCAGGGCACCACAGCUCGAGGAAGGUUGGGACCUACCAGCCCAUGUAAAAAGUUUCCAGAAAACCAGCCUUGUCGUUUAUACUCAGGCCUAAUUACAAAAUGAAUAAGGAAAGGAAAACAAAAAACAAAACAAAACGGGCAGUGUUGCUCAGUGGUCCAGCGUUUGCCAGGUUCAAUGCUCAGCACCAUGAACAGAAAACUAAGAAGAAAAAUCUGGGUGGUGGAGGUGGAGCUAAGGUAAUCUUGGGGGUCUGUGCUCAGGAGUUUGUGGUCUGUUAUUUUUCCAGAGUCCCCUGGCUGUCCCAGCAAAUAAGACAGAACGGGACUGUCUGGGUACGUUCACAGUUGCCCAUGACCCCCAGGCAGGAGAAGCCAACACCUCUAACCCUGCAGACCCUCAGCUGCCGCCAUCAUUUGGAAGUUGGGCUUAGGGAGCUAGAGGUUUGGUUUGGUUUGGUUUUGAAAACAGGGUUUAUCUGAGUCACUCUGUAGCACAGGCUGGCCUCGAACCCACAGAGAUCCCCCUGCCUUCGCCUCCCCGAGUGCUGGGAUUAAAGGCGUGCAGCCCAGAGUUGUUUAAAGAGUCUUGAGGUUCAGGCUUCUCUUCCUCCUCUACUCCUCCUUUUCCUCCUUCUCUUCCUCCUUCUCAAAUCUUCCUUGCCUCCUCCUCAACUUCUCCUCAUCAUCUUCUCCUCAAGUCUUCCUCCUCGACUCCUCUUCCUCCUCCUCCUCCUUCUCCUCCUCCUCCUCCUCCUCCUCCUCCUCCUCCUCCUCUUCUUCUUACUCCUCCUUGACUCCUCGACUCCUGGUUUUCCUGCCUUGGCCUCCAGGGGCCACACCCACGUUCAGAUGCUUCCCAGAGAGUCAGAAGAGGCCAGAGUAGGCAGAUUCCGGCCCUUUCCUGUCCCUCAACCUCCUAAGGCCUCAGAGAUGACAGUGGAGCUGAGGUGGAGAGCAGGCCUCCCUCUCUCAGCCCUUUGUUGUGUAUCUUCACCUCUACCUUUAUUUAUCUGUGUGUGAGCGCCCAAGACCUGUGUCCACCCAGCUCAGUGCCUGGAUUCCAGGUGCAGGCUGCCAUCUCUGGCUCCCUGUGGGUGAUGCGGAUCCGAACUGGGGUCCCUGUGCUGGUCCAGCAAGCACAUCCCUAGCUGGCCUUUUCUGCAUCUGCCCAUCCUAAACCACCUCCUUCCCCACUCUUUCUACAACCGAGUGUUCUCAGCCUACAUCAAGGAGGUGUGCGAGAAGCCUGUCAGCCAGCUGAUGGCCGAAUUAGGCAGCAGCGGUGCCAGCAGCUGGUGCACGGCGUCAGCUUCUCCACCAGCUGGUGCCGCCUGGCCUGGGUCAGCCACAACAUCACAGUGUCUGUGGCCGACUCCUCCAAGAGCAUUCAGUGAGUCCUCGCCUGGCUGGCGGGGGGAGGCAUUGGAGGGUACAGUUAGGGAUCUGUACACGCUGGCCCUACAUGGCAGCGAGGGGUCUGGACACGCUGGCUCUCCUUGGCAGCUAGGGGAAGUGUAUACAGCUGCGGCUGGAGGCUCCGGAGUUCAAGGCCAGCCUGGUCUCUGUCCCAGAAGACCAGAGCUGAAGCUGCUGCCACCACCCGGCACACACGCCCUCAGCUCCUUCCCCUGACACCACCCCAAACAGGACAGGAGCCAUCUUCCUCCUGCCUUCAUACCGCCCCAGGUCUGCAAGGAGAGCCCGAAUGGUGCUUUGUCACCAGACUGCAGUGAAGGUGGCAAGGGAAGAAGCCCGGAGUCCCCUUUCAGGCGGCUUGGCACUUGCCCUCCCAUGGGCAUCCUGGGAACGUGCACGGGGGAUGGCCUCCUCCUGGCCACCCCAUGAGGAUGCAUGGUGUGGACAGAUCCGGUGUAGUCUUCCCCGUGCUGACUCUACUAGUUCUCUUUUGAAAGGGUUGCCAUGGCAGAACUGUGCUCUGGGACAGCUUUGCUGGUAUCAAGCUUUUAUUUUGUUUUUUGUUUGUAUUUUGUUUAGUUUUUAAAUUAAAUUUUUAUUUUUAUAUUAAUUAUA
Molecule: RNA transcript, 4154 nt
Organism: Meriones unguiculatus (Mongolian gerbil)
Lineage: Eukaryota; Metazoa; Chordata; Mammalia; Rodentia; Muridae
Exons: 4
Source: RefSeq, a predicted model, not a curated record